AUGGAUCCAUCAAGCAUGGACAAAGACACGGAGGAGCAGCGGUCACAACGACGCCCCUUGUUUUCGCGGCUCAAGUGCGGCGAGGAGGAGACGCUAGCACCUAGGAGCGCCGACGAGCGCCUCUUCGUCACCGACGUCUUCCUCGUCCACCCGGAGAGAGAAGCCGGCGGCCAGAGCGUCGUGGCCGCCUGCGUCGAGAUCGGCACGCGGAACCUCAUGCUCGGAAGGCUGUCGGCGCAGAACCCCUGCGUGAAGCUGCAGACGCCGGUGGAGCUGGACAUGGAGUUUUGCUUUUACGUGGUGCGCCUAGAAGACGUCUACGCCGCCGACGAUGACGGAAACACCGACGCUGAGGCCGAUGCAGCCGUCGUCGAGUUCCAGGGUUUCGCUCUCGGUCCGCCGUCUCUGGACACGAAGGAGGAGGACGUUGAGUUCCAGGGUUUAUCUCUCGCUCUGCAGUCUCUGGACGUGAAGGAGGACGCUGAUGACGAUCGUGAGGAGGAGAAGGAGGAGAUUGACGAGGUUGACGGAGAAGUGGGUCACGUGACCAGGGCGAGCAGUGCCGGCGGCAACAACAGGAACGUUGGACAGGAUGUAGCUAGAACAUUCUUAGGAAUUCUUUUGUUUGUCUCUAUAUUAGCGUUCCUCGGAUUGAUAAUGUAA
This 663-nucleotide ribosomal RNA is filed under the name Triticum aestivum (bread wheat). RNAcentral describes it as "partial small subunit ribosomal RNA". Lineage: Eukaryota; Viridiplantae; Streptophyta; Magnoliopsida; Poales; Poaceae. The record is from RNAcentral.